CUGAGCCGGCCAUCAAGGCCAUGUGGCCCUGUCCCACUCAACUCACUCCAGUUCCUGUACAGCUGCAGUAACAAUGGCCCUGGAGGACAUAAAACAGUGUUGCUUGCUGCUGGACUCCAAUAGGGUCACAGACCGCAAGAAAGGGUGCGAUCGGCUGCAGCAUCUUUUAAAUAAUUCAAACAUUGUUUCACAUUUGGAUACCAGGCCUAGUGACAGCUUCAACUGGGACCAAGUCUUCUUCAGUGUGAAGAAAUACUUCCUCAAGG
This is a long non-coding RNA of Homarus americanus (American lobster), 266 nucleotides long. RefSeq lists it as uncharacterized. NCBI's taxonomy places the organism in Eukaryota, Metazoa, Arthropoda, Malacostraca, Decapoda, Nephropidae. The transcript is spliced from 3 exons. The record is from RefSeq and is a predicted model, not a curated record.